This 484-nucleotide ribosomal RNA is filed under the name uncultured bacterium. RNAcentral describes it as "partial 16S ribosomal RNA". It matches the Rfam family "Bacterial small subunit ribosomal RNA", at positions 39 to 507 of the family's 1533-position model. The record is from RNAcentral.
GGGGGGGGGGGGGGGGGGGGCGGGGGGGGGCGGGGCGGGGGGGGGAGGGGGGCUGGCUCCUGGGGUCAGCGGCGGACGGGUGAGUAAUGCCUAGGAAUCUGCCUGGUGGUGGGGGAUAACGUCCGGAAACGGGCGCUAAUACCGCAUACGUCCUGAGGGAGAAAGUGGGGGAUCUUCGGACCUCACGCUAUCAGAUGAGCCUAGGUCGGAUUAGCUAGUUGGUGGGGUAAAGGCCUACCAAGGCGACGAUCCGUAACUGGUCUGAGAGGAUGAUCAGUCACACUGGAACUGAGACACGGGCCAGACUCCUACGGGAGGCAGCAGUGGGGAAUAUUGGACAAUGGGCGAAAGCCUGAUCCAGCCAUGCCGCGUGUGUGAAGAAGGUCUUCGGAUUGUAAAGCACUUUAAGUUGGGAGGAAGGGCAGUAAGUUAAUACCUUGCUGUUUUGACGUUACCAACAGAAUAAGCACCGGCUAACUUCGUG